RNAcentral lists this ribosomal RNA (236 nucleotides) under uncultured bacterium. RNAcentral describes it as "partial 16S ribosomal RNA". It matches the Rfam family "Bacterial small subunit ribosomal RNA", at positions 541 to 776 of the family's 1533-position model. The record is from RNAcentral.
UUGCUCGGAAUCCCUGGGCGUAAAGCGCACGUAGGCGGACUCUUACGUCGGGGGUGAAAUCCUGGAGCUCAACUCCAGAACUGCCUUCGAUACUGGGAGUCUUGAGUUCGGGAGAGGUGAGUGGAACUGCGAGUGUAGAGGUGAAAUUCGUAGAUAUUCGCAAGAACACCAGUGGCGAAGGCGGCUCACUGGCCCGAUACUGACGCUGAGGCGCGAAAGCGUGGGGAGCAAACAGG